UCUCUGAUAGUAUAUCGGUUAGUACACGCGCCUGUCAUCACUCAUAGAGAAGGUAGCGCGCGAAAGCUGGGUUCGACUCCCAGUCAGAGAG
Molecule: non-coding RNA, 91 nt
Organism: Armillaria nabsnona
Lineage: Eukaryota; Fungi; Basidiomycota; Agaricomycetes; Agaricales; Physalacriaceae
Source: the annotation of a GenBank genome assembly